UCCGAAUUGGUGUAGUGGCUAACAUUUGACGCUCUCAUCCCGCAUCGCAUACACAACAGUCUGUGAUGUAGUGCAGUGCCGUCAAGCCCGGGGUUCGAUUCCCCGAUUCGGAG
Nemania serpens is the source of this 113-nucleotide non-coding RNA. Lineage: Eukaryota; Fungi; Ascomycota; Sordariomycetes; Xylariales; Xylariaceae. The record is from the annotation of a GenBank genome assembly.